GAUGAACGCUGGCGGCGUGCCUAAUACAUGCAAGUCGAACGCAUUGUGGUUGAAAUGAUAUGAAGAACUUGUUCAGAUUUGAUUUUCAACAUUGCAAUGAGUGGCGAACGGGUGAGUAACACGUGGGAAACCUACCUCUUAGCAGGGGAUAACAUUUGGAAACAAAUGCUAAUACCGUAUAAUAAUUAAAACCGCAUGGUUUUAGUUUAAAAGAUGGUCUUGCUAUCACUAAGAGAUGGUCCCGCGGUGUAUUAGUUAGUUGGUGAGGUAAUGGCUCACCAAGACAAUGAUACAUAGCCGAGUUGAGAGACUGACCGGCCACAAUGGGACUGAGACACGGCCCAUACUCCUACGGGAGGCAGCAGUAGGGGAUCUUCCACAAUGGACGAAAGUCUGAUGGAGCAACGCCGCGUGUGUGAUGAAGGGUUUCGGCUCGUAAAACACUGUUGUAAGAGAAGAAUGACAUUGAGAGUAACUGUUCAAUGUGUGACGGUAU
RNAcentral lists this ribosomal RNA (496 nucleotides) under uncultured bacterium. RNAcentral's name for it is "bacterial SSU rRNA". It matches the Rfam family "Bacterial small subunit ribosomal RNA", at positions 28 to 478 of the family's 1533-position model. The record is from RNAcentral.